RNAcentral lists this ribosomal RNA (253 nucleotides) under uncultured bacterium. RNAcentral's name for it is "partial 16S ribosomal RNA". It matches the Rfam family "Bacterial small subunit ribosomal RNA", at positions 524 to 776 of the family's 1533-position model. The record is from RNAcentral.
GACAGAGGCCUCAAGCGUUAGGCGGAAUCACUGGGCUUAAAGCGUGUGUAGGCGGAUCGUUAAGUGCCUUGUGAAAUCCCACGGCUUAACUGUGGAACGGCUGGGCAUACUGGCGGUCUUGAGCCAUCUAGGGGCGACUGGAACAAACGGUGGAGCGGUGAAAUGCGUAGAUAUCGUUUGGAACGCCAAUGGUGAAAACAGGUAGCUGGGAGUGUGCUGACGCUGAGACACGAAAGCCAGGGGAGCGAACGGG